Molecule: long non-coding RNA, 2919 nt
Organism: Bos taurus (domestic cattle)
Lineage: Eukaryota; Metazoa; Chordata; Mammalia; Artiodactyla; Bovidae
Source: Ensembl
UGAAAUAAUUUUAGAAAUAGAAUGCCCACAUGUCCAAUGAAUAGAGAAUGGCUAUGUAACUGAAGACAUGACAACACCAAUCUAAAAUGAUAAAUGUGAAAACUACACGCAAGCACAGAAAUAUGAAGAUAAAAUUAGGCAAAAUGAAAAUGAAGCAGAAAAAUAAAAUUUUUUUAACAUCGGAGUUAAUGAAUAUUCUAAAAACCACUGAACGGUACACUUUAAAAUGGUGAACUUCAUGAUAUGAGAAUUAUAUUUCAAUUUUUUAAAAAAAUUCUAAAGGAGACUACCAAGAUAUGUAAAAUAUUUCUAUGGUAAAGUAAGGAGAUAGUUUGCUUAUGUUUUCCUCCAAAGUUUAAUAUUUCCUAUUACUUAGCAAGAUUCAUUGUACAAUAGCAAAUGCUAUUUUUGAUAUUUGUUAGUGUUGGAGAAGGCAAUGGCAAGCCACUCCAGUACUCUUGCCUAGAAAAUCCCAUGGAUGGAGGAGCCUGGUGGGCUACAGUCCAUGGGGUGGCCACUAGUCGCUCGUGACUGAAUGACUUCACUUUCACUUUUCACUUUUCACUUUUACUCAAUGGAGAAGGAAAUGGCAACCCACUCCAGUGUUCUUGCCUGGAGAAUCCCAGGGACGGCGGAGCCUGGUGGGCUGCUGUCUAUGGGGUCGCACGGAGUCGGACAUGACUGAAGCGACUUAGCAGCAUAAGGAGUUAAGAGACAGCAAGAGAAAACUCUGGGGGCCAAGUGCUCCUGCCUCCCCAACAUAUUCCUUCAGGAAAGAAGCAAUAUGGAGCCACUGUGUUGCACAGCUGAAAGUAUCAGGAUGUAUGUCAACUGUACUUCAGUUAACAAACAAAAAAGGACUUGGAGUAGUGAACCCCUACACAAAUGCUUAGCAAUUCUUCAUGGGUGUGACCAUUCUCUUUUCAUGGGUGAUGCUAUGAAUUAAUAAUGAACACUACAAGUACAUCAUAGAUCAGAAUUAAGAAAACUCAGAAAUGAAGACGUGAAACUCCCAAAAGAAUAAGAAAAUAUUGAAAAGUACAUGUAAAUGAAAUUUAAACAGAAACCUGCUAUCAAAUAAUGCCUUGUAAGGAAUGAAACAGUAAGGAGGUAGAGCUUAAACACUGUUUAAAAACACUUCUGGAAAAUAAAUUAAGCAAAAAUUUAUAAAAUAUUUCAUGAGUGUGUUAAAAGUGAAAUAUAAUCAUAAGAGAUCUGAUAUUUGAAAAAUUCAAGGACCUGAAAGAGAAAAAUCAAUAAAAGAUGCAAAGCAAAUAAUAGGCAUUAUUGUCCAAAUUUUUCUGAUAAUUUUAAAAACAACUUUUAAAUUGUCUUUUGAAGAGAACAAUGUGCAUUCACUUGUAAUGACUAAAGGCAGAUGAUAUUCUAAUAAACUUACAGGGCUUUAAAGAAAAAAAUCUUUUGGGCAUCUAGAACAAAAUAGCACGUGACAUAUAAUGGAACAAAAAUCAGAAUUCGAUCAGACUUUUUGGAGAGACAUACUCUGUGCCAGAAAAAAAGUAGAGCAAUGUAUUUGAACUGCUCAAGGAGAGAAAUGAUGAGGCAUGAACUUUCUAGCAGGUAAGUAACUGGGUACCAAAGGCCCUGUCAUUCAAGUCAUCAUGAAGAUCUUGGGAAAUACUGUUCUCAUGAUCAAAGGAAUGAACAGACUUCAGAAAAUAGAAUCCUUAGAAAGACACAUCAGGACAGAAGGUAUAGACUAAAUUCAUAGUCACCUGAUAUAAUGAAGACUGAAUGACGGUGACAUAAGAGAGGGGGUGACCUUGGUGGUGGACACGAGGGUGAAUGCCGGACAGCAAUUCAUUUAGUCCUACCUCUGAUUAAGGUGAUUUUUAUAGGAAAAUAUGUUAAAAGCAACUGGAUAGAUGAAUGUCAUUUAAUAUAGAAAGCUUCCACAGUAUAUAUAAAACAUAUAUCUGAACAUAAUACUAAAGCUAUACAAUAAAAAAAAACUAAGCUGUACUAAAUUAGGUUCUUUAGGAGAUAAGCAGUGAGGCCGACCCUGUUCCUUGUCCAGUUGGAAACCUCCUGACUCUGUUCUGCUUCCUUCCCCUCUGAGGCCCAGGCUGAGGCCCCCAGGUCAAGGCCUUCACAGGUGUCAGGGCAGGACUUGCAACACAAACACGAGGGCUGGAAUCACUGAGGAGGCUCAAAGACAAAUGGAAGAAGGCUCCCUGGGCCGUGUGUGUAGUGAGUGUGCAGGAGCCAGAAGACUCCGCAGGCCGGGGAAGUAGCCUUGGGUCCUGACCUCCCCAGAGGUCAGAUCCACAGGGCACUGGGGUCUCUUUGCUGAAGGUGUUGUCUGUUAGCAGAGAGGGAAUAUGAAUGUCCCGUGGGAGCAACUGAAUUGGUCGUUUGUCUGGGUAGCCUUCAAGUCCCUGGACAGUGAAGCUGGUGCAGAGGAAAGGGGAAGGCCUGAGGCUCUGGGGCAAAGAAGCUGAGCGCCUCUCCCCUGGAACCUGUGAGGAGCAGGGGGUCUGAUGACACAGGGGGGAAGAGUGACCCUGCCCCUCCAGCCCACACUCAAUACCACCAAUCAUGAGAUCUGCCCGGUGGAAAUGACAGAGACACGGGCAGCUCCCUUUACCCCUGAUCAUUCCUUCUAGAUCCCCUGGAGAAGGAAAUGGCAACCCACUCCAGUUUUCUCGCCUGGAGAAUCCCAUGAACAGAGGAGCCUGGUGGGCUACAGUCCAUGGGGUUGCAAAGAGUUGGACACGACUUAGCAACUAAAGGACAACGAUUCUAAGCCCCCAGCAAAGCUUUGCCUGUGCUUUUAAUUUAAAAAAUCAUUAAGCUAUAGUAAUAAAAACAUGGGUUUAUCUCAGUGGUAUAUUGCAACAUGAAAAGUUUACAGAAGACACUGCUUUUUAAAGUGUAAUAAAAAAAGUGGCGUUCAUG